RNA transcript from Pseudomyrmex gracilis, 1819 nucleotides. It is a transcript of the gene named TIP41-like protein, with no coding region annotated. The record is from RefSeq and is a predicted model, not a curated record. The transcript has 8 exons. Lineage: Eukaryota; Metazoa; Arthropoda; Insecta; Hymenoptera; Formicidae.
AACAUCAGUGUCACCAUUGAGUGCUAAUUGGACUACUUGUAUGUUGUAUGUACGGUGAUUGACGUGUUUUAAUCUCAAGAUAUAGUAGGAAGGUGUAUAAUUUGUGCGAUGACAACUGUGAAAAUGCACGGUGAUAUCGAUAUUUUAAGGUUACCUGUUAAUGAGGAGGAACAUGUAUGUUCUCCAUGGCGUAUAAAGUACACCCAGUCUCAUAUACUUCAUUCUAAGUGCACCAAAAAUGAAGAUGGUUGUGGUUCUAAUGUCGAAAGCGCAUGUCAAUUUUGUGUAUAUAGCAACACAUUAGAAUUGCCGCAUAUGCCAGACAUGGUGUUUCCUAAUAAUGUAUUAAGUCUGAAACAUCAUGAUGGACUAUCGCUGGAAUUCAAUGCUUUGGAUGCUUUGAGAUAUGUUUCUAAUGGAAAAGUUAAUGUUCAGCUCGCUUGUGCAGAAGCUUGGAAAGAAUCUAGGUCAGAAAGCAGCGAAUACUUAGAAGAAAAGAUAAAGCCUUUUGAUUGGACCUUUACUACCACUUAUACUGGCACACUGUCUGGUUUUGAAAUAGAAGAGACUAAUGAAAGAAUUGAUAUAGAUAAAUUAAAACAAAAAGACAAAAUCUUGUUUUAUCAUGAUUUAACAUUGUUUGAAGACGAACUUCAUGACAAUGGUAUUGCAGUGUGUUCGGUGAAAAUUAGAGUCAUGCCUGCCAGUUUCUUUAUAUUACUGCGAUAUUUUUUGAGAAUUGACAAUGUAAUGCUAAGAAUAAAUGAUACUCGUAUUUACCAUGAAUUUGGUAAAAAUUAUUUACUACGUGAAUUUACAUCACGGGAAGCUAAAGUUCAAGAUAUUCGAGUUUCUCCAACGCUCUUCCUUGACCCGAGUGGGAUAGCACCCCAUUUGCCAUUAAGUAAAAGUCAAUAUCACAAACUUCUUAUAUCUAAAAAAGAAGAAGCAUCGAAAUCACACAAAAUUGCAAGCGAGCAAAACAAAACUACAACUGAAGAAAAAGUAACACAAUCCGAUGAAUCUGCAGACAGCUCAAUCACUUAGAGCUCAUAUUAAGAAAAAAGUUAUAAAUAUCAAAAGGAAACGGAAGGAAGAGGAAAUCAAGAGACAGACAAUUGAUCGACUUUCGGGCUAGGCCGCUUUCUUUCCAUCAUAUAGUGGUGUUUAUUCGUGGGCGCAAAAAACUUGGGUGAAUUCCAUCGGGUUGGACGGAGAGAGGAAGAGAGAGAAAUGAAGACGAAGAAGAGAGAGAAGACGAAGUGUGCGGUGGAGCGAGGAGGAAAAGGAGGAGAAAACGCAAUAAGAGCAAGAAGCAAGGAGGUCGUCGACGACAGCAAUCUCUCGUGUUUCCGGCCGGCUGAAGAAGCACGGCCGUCUGCGCCCAUCGAUCCAGAAGAAGACGGUCGAGCCGAGAGAAGAGAAAGAAGGAAGGAAGCGAAAGGGAAAAAGAGAGGGAGUGAUGAUAGCAAGUACAGCGUAGCAGGAAAGCGAAAAAGAGACAGAAGAGAGAGAGAGAGAGAGAGAAAGAGAGAGAAAAUGUAGAGGGGCUCGACUGAGAGACAGAGAACACUCGGCCGGAAGCAGUUACUCGCGCGAUGCAACGAAAAUAUCAGAGCGUCCGUUUCGCAAUAGGUCUGCCCGCGUCCGCCUGGAGUUUAAUAUAGAACACUCGCGGCCGGCCCCGUCGCGAAAACAUCAUGCUGACGUCGGCCGUGCGCCAGUUUCUUCUCUCUUUCUUUCUCUCUCUCUCAUUCUUAUUCGCUUCGCUCUUCUCGUUCUGUCUGCCUGAGAAAAACGUCUCCUUCUUUUCGUGCGG